RNAcentral lists this ribosomal RNA (591 nucleotides) under Triticum aestivum (bread wheat). Its description in RNAcentral is "partial small subunit ribosomal RNA". The record is from RNAcentral. Lineage: Eukaryota; Viridiplantae; Streptophyta; Magnoliopsida; Poales; Poaceae.
AUGAAACAGUUACAAGACGACAUAGUCCAAACGCCUGACUAUUACAGAGUACCAUCGAUCGACCAAGAAACAGGAACAGACUAUCUAAGCGGAGGUGAACUUGGUGACGGCCUUGGUGCCCUCGGAGACGGCGUGCUUGGCGAGCUCGCCGGGGAGGACGAGGCGGACGGAGGUCUGGAUCUCCCUGGACGUGAUGGUGGGCUUCUUGUUGUAGCGCGCCAGCUUGGCCGACUCGCCGGCGAGCUUCUCGAAGAUGUCGUUGAUGAAGGAGUUCAUGAUGGACAUGGCCUUGGAGGAGAUGCCGAUGUCCGGGUGAACCUGCUUCAGCACCUUGAAGAUGUAGAUCUUGUACGUCUCCACGCUCUUCUUGGACUUCUUCUUCCCCUUCUUCUCGCCGCCCUCCUUGGACGCCGGCGGCCGCUUCUCGGCCUUGGUCUUCUUCGCUGUCGUCGUCUUCUCGGCCUUCUCCGCCACCGGCUUCUUCUCCGCCUUGGGGGCCAUGGAUGCCGCUGCUGCUGCUGCUUCUUCGUGGAAGCUCAGUCUUUGGAAGCUACCAGCUCGGUUUUUUCGUUUUUGUUUUUUUCUGGAUAG